Molecule: non-coding RNA, 146 nt
Organism: Pelobates cultripes (western spadefoot toad)
Lineage: Eukaryota; Metazoa; Chordata; Amphibia; Anura; Pelobatidae
Source: the annotation of a GenBank genome assembly
GUAUUAAGCAGUUUGUGUGUGUGCUCGGCAGUCUGUCUGUAUGUGUAUUUAGCCGACUGCUGAAUACACACAGACUGCUGAGUACACAGUCUGCUAAAUACACACACACACACACACAGACAGACUGCCGAGUACACACACACACA